CCCACGCCCAGCGAAGGCGGCCUUGGUGGUGGGAUGGGAGAGCCGCCCGCCUGCUCCUACUUGG
This is a long non-coding RNA of Myotis davidii, 64 nucleotides long. RefSeq lists it as uncharacterized. The record is from RefSeq and is a predicted model, not a curated record. The transcript has 2 exons. Lineage: Eukaryota; Metazoa; Chordata; Mammalia; Chiroptera; Vespertilionidae.